RNAcentral lists this ribosomal RNA (497 nucleotides) under uncultured bacterium. RNAcentral describes it as "partial 16S ribosomal RNA". It matches the Rfam family "Bacterial small subunit ribosomal RNA", at positions 28 to 507 of the family's 1533-position model. The record is from RNAcentral.
GAUGAGCGCUGGCGGCGUGCCUAAUACAUGCAAGUCGAGCGAACGGACGAGAAGCUUGCUUCUCUGAUGUUAGCGGCGGACGGGUGAGUAACACGUGGAUAACCUACCUAUAAGACUGGGAUAACUUCGGGAAACCGGAGCUAAUACCGGAUAAUAUUUUGAACCGCAUGGUUCAAAAGUGAAAGACGGUCUUGCUGUCACUUAUAGAUGGAUCCGCGCUGCAUUAGCUAGUUGGUAAGGUAACGGCUUACCAAGGCAACGAUGCAUAGCCGACCUGAGAGGGUGAUCGGCCACACUGGAACUGAGACACGGUCCAGACUCCUACGGGAGGCAGCAGUAGGGAAUCUUCCGCAAUGGGCGAAAGCCUGACGGAGCCACGCCGCGUGAGUGAUGAAGGUCUUCGGAUCGUAAAACUCUGUUAUUAGGGAAGAACAUAUGUGUAAGUAACUGUGCACAUCUUGACGGUACCUAAUCAGAAAGCCACGGCUAACUACGUG